RNAcentral lists this ribosomal RNA (406 nucleotides) under uncultured bacterium. Its description in RNAcentral is "partial 16S ribosomal RNA". It matches the Rfam family "Bacterial small subunit ribosomal RNA", at positions 30 to 526 of the family's 1533-position model. The record is from RNAcentral.
AUUGAACGCUGGCGGCAGGCCUAACACAUGCAAGUCGAACGAGUGGCGGACGGUUGAGUAAUGCCUGGGAAACUGCCAGAUGGAGGGGGAUAACUACGGGAAACCGUAGCUAAUACCGCCUACCAUCGGAUGUGCCCAGGUGGGAUUAGCUAGUGGGUGAGGUAACGGCUCACCUAGUCGACGAUCCCUCGCUGGUCUGAGAGGAUGACCAGCCACACUGGAACUGAGACACGGUCCAGACUCCUACGGGAGGCAGCAGUGGGGAAUAUUGCGCAAUGGGCGCAAGCCUGAUGCAGCCAUGCCGCGUGAAUGAAGAAGGCCUGCGGGUUGUAAAGUUCUUUCGGUGAGGAGGCGUUACUCACAGAAGAAGCACCGGCUAACUCCGUGCCAGCAGCCGCGGUAAUUC